CCUACGGGAGGCAGCAGUGGGGAAUAUUGGGCAAUGGGCGCAAGCCUGACCCAGCAACGCCGCGUGAAGGAAGAAGGCUUUCGGGUUGUAAACUUCUUUUGUCAGGGACGUAGCAAGUGACGGUACCUGACGAAUAAGCCACGGCUAACUACGUGCCAGCAGCCGCGGUAAUCCGGAGGUGGCAAGCGUUAUGCGGAUUUACUGGGUGUAAGGGGCGUGUAGGCGGGGAAGCAAGUCAGAUGUGAAAACCACGGGCUCAACCUGUGGCCUGCAUCUGAAACUGUUUUUCUUGAGUGCUGGAGAGGCAAUCGGAAUGCCGGGUGUAGCGGUGAAAUGCGUAGAGAUACGGAGGAACACCAGUGGCGAAGGCGGAUUGCUGGACAGUAACUGACGCUGAGGCGCGAAAGCGUGGGGAGCAAACAGGAUUAGAUACCCGUGUAGUC
Molecule: ribosomal RNA, 443 nt
Filed under: uncultured bacterium
Lineage: Bacteria
Description: partial 16S ribosomal RNA
Rfam family: Bacterial small subunit ribosomal RNA
Source: RNAcentral